GGGGUGUUACUUAGUUUUGUUUAGGGCUUAGCCUAUAAAUAGAUAUGUAGAGAGCCAUUGAGGGGCAUCUACAGUUAUUCCAGAGUUGUGUUAUUUUGUCGGCCGUAAGGCUUGGGCGGCGCUUGUGCCAAUUUCGCUCCUUAGAUCUUGUGUUCUAGGACUUGGGCUAGUGUAGAUUCAUCAAUCUCCACUAGAUUGGGCUAGAAAGAGAUCUCUUUAAUCUCUUGCUAGAUUUCUUUUGCUUUCUUUGUUCUUGUUCUUCGUUCUUCCAUUUAGUGGAAUAUAAAUCAAGUUUGCUUUCAUUGUUGAUCUUUUUCUUGAGUUAUUCCACAGGCGUUGCCUACAAUCGGUCCAUCAUCAUCGUUUUUGAAGGCACACGCAAGAAGCGCAAAAAAAAGGGGCUUGGUGAGGGGCUUUGGACCGUGAGCCCCCAUCACUUGGCCUGCGUGUGCGCCUAUUUGCUUUUGCCCCUUUUGGCCGCCUAAGGCUUGGUCAGCCCCUAGGCUCAUCAGUUACCCGAUCUGGUCCCCGAGUGUUGCCUGAACCUCGCCUGGCUGAGUGCCAUGGCUAUAUGGUUUUCGGCGAUUUCCAUCAGAGACCUGAGGGAUCAUGUCUCCAUUGAUCCACUUGAGCACCACUUUCAGAAUAGUACUAUGUUUCAGGUUCCAAAGAAGAGAGAGAGAG
This 684-nucleotide long non-coding RNA is filed under the name Phoenix dactylifera (date palm). RNAcentral describes it as "long non-coding RNA (PDAC_LNC014244)". Lineage: Eukaryota; Viridiplantae; Streptophyta; Magnoliopsida; Arecales; Arecaceae. The record is from RNAcentral.